UAACAGUGAAAUGACGGUUUUGGCAUUAAUUGUUCUUUACAUCUACCACCCCGCCAGGUGCUGAAUCGGCGUGUUUGCUCUUGCUACUUUGCUGAAUUACAGUUUGAAUUACAGUUUGUCGUCCUCUCCUAUUUUUCUUGACAAAGACUGAGGGGACUGCUGGUUUUUAUCGAUUUGAUCUUCGCUAUCAGUCAGAAGAGAGAAAACAGAGAGAGGGAGAGAGUUCGGUUCAAUUGAUAAAAGAUGUCUUCCAUUUCCUUCUAUCUUUUUUGGCAGCCUGACUCUGGCUCAGGUUUUUGACUAUGUGUAUGUGGCACGUGUAUGUCUUGGAAACCAUCCAGCCACAAACGUGAGCCUAUCCCAAAUCGAGAUAGAAGCCUAUUAGUAAUUGGUCGUUGAUGUAUCAUAAGUGAAUAGGAAACAGAGAGAAGUAAGACAUUAAUUUGAGGUGGAGUCUUUUCCCUGCAAAAUGGCUGUGGAUUCGUGGAGUUGGUGGUGGUGCAGGUCCCAAGCCAAGGUGGCUGUGGGUUGGUGCAGUGGUGGCGUUGCAAAUUUGCAUGUAGCUAAAAUGGGCCGUCAUUUUAUGCUUUGUUGAAGUUGGAUCUGCAUUUUGUGUGUCACAAUUUCUGGGUUCGAUUAGUUGAGAAAAUUAGGGGUUUUGGGAAUUUUGUGUUUCGUUGGGUUUAUACAUAUAGUGGUUAAAAGAAGCAUGCUUUGAUUCUUGCUCUUAUACGGGAAUUGACUACAGGAAACAUGGCCUGUUCUGGGCAAAGUAGAGCUUUAUUCAUUCUCCUUUCUUUGGAUAAUAAUAUUCAUUCUCCUUUUGAUACAUUGCGAUUUGCAACUUCACUUUUCCUUCUUUUUAGUUUUUUAAUGGGAUUUAGAUUUGUCUCCCAAAUGCAUUAGUUUGCUAUUGUGGAAGAGUUUUCAUUAAGUAAGGAAAUGUCGGUGCUUAGAUAGAUAUAUUUCAAUGCCUGCAUCCAAGUAUUAAAGUAGUCCUAGCAACCAUGUGGCAGUUGGACAAUUCAUAAACAAAAAGCACAACCAAAAGGCUUCAGGAAAUGGAGUGCUUCCAGGAGUCUUUUUCUUCCAGCAAUGUAGAUAGUUCUUAUGCUUUGCAGACAUUUGUAUGACAUGAACAAAAAGAAAACCAAGAUCAUUCAUGUAGUUACGGAAAUGAAUCAUAAAAUAAAUAAAGCAUGGUGAAGAUUAAAAAUCAAAUACUUCGAGGAAUUCACAGAGUCCAAACGGAAGUCACAAGUUCGAUAUAAUCAGUGAGAUAAUAUCCAGCUUUUGGUGAAAGAAGUUAAAUGGGAUAUUGAGAAUCUGCAGAUGAGAUAGUAUCCAGCUUUUGGUGGUGCAGUAGUUGGUUGUCAUAGUGAUCAUUGUAGGAAGGGAAAGGUGGAGAGUUGUUGCAUCACUCUACUUCGAUGAUUAGCUCUAGCUAGCUAAAAAGAAAUAUAGAGGUUCAACUUCUCUCAAAAACAUACAUUAUCUGUGUUUAUGCUAGGCUGGUUUAAAUAUGGUUGUCCUUCUGUCCGUCUUUCAUAAGCUUUCACCGCAUUCAUUCUUGCAUAUCAAUAUGAGAUUUCAAAUCAGCAAUUUGCAUAUGCAUUGAAUCUUCCACUCUACUUUCAUCUUAAUAUGAUUAUUUCUGAGUUCCAAAUGAGAGAGAUGCAGCAGACAUGACAGAAUCAAUUGAAGACACGUUAGAGGAGUUAAUGUAAAAUAGUUGGUUCUAACUACAAACAUAGAACAUUAUACAUACAUCUAAAGCUGGAUCCACUGUUAUACUGUUCAUUUAACAGUAAAAUUCCGGUUCUGCCCUUGGCUUUUUCUCACAAUUUCAGGUUAAUUGUAUCCUGACGAUUUUGCCCAUGCAGUCACCCGUUUGAAUAACGCCACGUAGUAAAUUCUAGAAACCCGUCAAUAACCCACCCGUGUACUUGCUCCUUUUUUAGGCCUCCACUGACCCUUCCAGAAGUUCCAUGACUUCCAGACGUCUACUGACCCAAAUCUACAGAUAGAGAAGAACGAUCCGGAGGGAGAUAGAGAGAUCGAGUGUGAUAGAGAGCAAUCCAGAGAGAUAUCAAGAACGAUCCAUAGAGAGAUAGAAAGAUCGAAUGUGUGUUUUUCUCAAGUAUUAAUUGUGUAAUGAAAGUUUAGCGAUUGCACACUACUUUCAUUCACACUUGCUUGUUUAUUGUCUUUAGCUUCUUUUACUUUGCAUCUUUAACUUUAAUUAUACAAUUAUUUUUCAUCUAAUUAAUCAGACGAUCAUUUUGAGAUAAAAAAAACCCUAGCCUCCCUACGCGCCGCACGUGUGUUUCAACCUUCAAAGCUUCCUAGCUCGUCUAGCAGCUCGUCCUUAGAAUGUCGUCAUCGGACGGGCAUCUAGGCAGCGCUCCUUAAAUAACUUUUCUUAGGCAGGGUAACUCGACGAGAUUUUGAGGCUUGGGUGGGAUAAGUCUCCAUGGACGCGGUCUGAUUUGUUUUGGUUCGUUGGGUUGAGGAGGACGACUGUGCUUGCGGGGUAGUAGAAGGCGAAGCGGGCGGCGGAAUCCGUUGUUGGUGGCGGGAGUACGGGCGCGGUUGGAUUGCAUGUUUGGGUGGCCGAUUGCUCCUGAAUCUCAGUUUGAUGAUGGAUAGCUAGUGUUGCUUGCUUGGAUAGAUCGACGACGGUGGACACUGAUGGUGUGGCUACUAGGCGGGAUUGUCGGCGUCGACAGCUUUGAUGUUGCCAAUGGUGGCGGGGAAGUUGCUUGGUGGUGCCGCUUUGGAGCUACUCGUCACUCUGAUUCUGUUCAGGCCUGAGCAGUUGGACCUAGUUUAUGCCUUGGGUCAAGUCUUUGAUCUUUUUGGGUUAGCCCUAAUUCUAAGGGAAAAGAAAGUUUUUUUAUUCAUGAUUUUUUAUCUAGUUUUGCCUUUCAAAUGAACUUUGGUUUUUGUUUGCUUAA
Long non-coding RNA from Rosa rugosa (rugosa rose), 2957 nucleotides. RefSeq lists it as uncharacterized. The record is from RefSeq and is a predicted model, not a curated record. The transcript has 2 exons. Lineage: Eukaryota; Viridiplantae; Streptophyta; Magnoliopsida; Rosales; Rosaceae.